GGAAUAAAGGAAAAAGGAAAGAAAAAAAGAAACAGAGGAAACAAUUAGGGUACAGAAAGGUAUUUGUCGUUGUUGUUGUUUAAAUCCGCAAAUAAUACUCUUCUUGUUAAUGUUUUUC
Molecule: non-coding RNA, 118 nt
Filed under: Astrosyne radiata
Lineage: Eukaryota; Bacillariophyta; Fragilariophyceae; Cyclophorales; Cyclophoraceae
Source: RNAcentral